Molecule: ribosomal RNA, 2755 nt
Filed under: Enterococcus faecium EnGen0174
Lineage: Bacteria; Bacillati; Bacillota; Bacilli; Lactobacillales; Enterococcaceae
Description: bacterial LSU rRNA
Rfam family: Bacterial large subunit ribosomal RNA
Source: RNAcentral
AAUACAUAGCACAUUCGAGGUAGACGCAGAGAACUGAAACAUCUAAGUACCUGCAGGAAGAGAAAGAAAAUUCGAUUCCCUGAGUAGCGGCGAGCGAAACGGGAAAAGCCCAAACCAGCAAGCUUGCUUGUUGGGGUUGUAGGACUCCAAUAUGGUAGUUCUUUCAGAUAGUCGAAUGACUUGGAAAAGUCAGUCAAAGAGGGUAAAAACCCCGUAGACGAAAUGUGGAAGACACCUAGGAGGAUCCUGAGUACGGCGGAACACGAGAAAUUCCGUCGGAAUCCGGGAGGACCAUCUCCCAAGGCUAAAUACUCCCUAGUGACCGAUAGUGAACCAGUACCGUGAGGGAAAGGUGAAAAGCACCCCGGAAGGGGAGUGAAAUAGAACCUGAAACCGUGUGCCUACAACAAGUCAAAGCCCGUUAAUGGGUGAUGGCGUGCCUUUUGUAGAAUGAACCGGCGAGUUACGAUUGCAUGCGAGGUUAAGUUGAAGAGACGGAGCCGCAGCGAAAGCGAGUCUGAAUAGGGCGUUUGAGUAUGUAGUCGUAGACCCGAAACCAUGUGAUCUACCCAUGUCCAGGUUGAAGGUGCGGUAAAACGCACUGGAGGACCGAACCCACGUACGUUGAAAAGUGCGGGGAUGAGGUGUGGGUAGCGGAGAAAUUCCAAACGAACUUGGAGAUAGCUGGUUCUCUCCGAAAUAGCUUUAGGGCUAGCCUCGGAAUUGAGAAUGAUGGAGGUAGAGCACUGUUUGGACUAGGGGCCCAUCUCGGGUUACCGAAUUCAGAUAAACUCCGAAUGCCAUUCAUUCAUAUCCGGGAGUCAGACUGUGAGUGAUAAGAUCCAUAGUCGAAAGGGAAACAGCCCAGACCACCAGCUAAGGUCCCAAAAUAUAUGUUAAGUGGAAAAGGAUGUGGGGUUGCACAGACAACUAGGAUGUUGGCUUAGAAGCAGCCAUCAUUUAAAGAGUGCGUAAUAGCUCACUAGUCGAGUGACCCUGCGCCGAAAAUGUACCGGGGCUAAACAUAUUACCGAAGCUGUGGAGUACACCUUUAGGUGUAUUGGUAGGAGAGCGUUCUAAGGGCGUUGAAGGCAGAUCGUGAGGACUGCUGGAGCGCUUAGAAGUGAGAAUGCCGGUAUGAGUAGCGAAAGGCAGGUGAGAAUCCUGUCCACCGAAUGACUAAGGUUUCCUGGGGAAGGCUCGUCCGCCCAGGGUUAGUCGGGACCUAAGCCGAGGCCGACAGGCGUAGGCGAUGGAUAACAGGUUGAUAUUCCUGUACCCGUUGUUUUUGUUUGAGCAAUGGAGGGACGCAGGAGGCUAAGGAAUGCAGACGAUCGGAAAUGUCUGUCCAAGCAGUAAGUCUGAAGAGGAGUCAAAUGCUUCUUUUCUUAAGGACAAGCUGUGAUGGGGAGGGAAAUAAUAGUACCGAAGUUCCUGAUGUCACACUGCCGAGAAAAGCUUCUAGUGAGAAAACAGCGGCCCGUACCGCAAACCGACACAGGUAGUCGAGGAGAGAAUCCUAAGGUGAGCGAGAGAACUCUCGUUAAGGAACUCGGCAAAAUGACCCCGUAACUUCGGGAGAAGGGGUGCUGAUCAUACGAUCAGCCGCAGUGAAUAGGCCCAAGCGACUGUUUAUCAAAAACACAGGUCUCUGCAAAAUCGUAAGAUGAAGUAUAGGGGCUGACGCCUGCCCGGUGCUGGAAGGUUAAGAGGAGUGCUUAGCGCAAGCGAAGGUACGAAUUGAAGCCCCAGUAAACGGCGGCCGUAACUAUAACGGUCCUAAGGUAGCGAAAUUCCUUGUCGGGUAAGUUCCGACCCGCACGAAAGGCGUAACGAUUUGGGCACUGUCUCAACGAGAGACUCGGUGAAAUUUUAGUACCUGUGAAGAUGCAGGUUACCCGCGACAGGACGGAAAGACCCCAUGGAGCUUUACUGUAGUUUGAUAUUGAGUGUCUGUACCGCAUGUACAGGAUAGGUAGGAGCCGUAGAAAUCGGAACGCUAGUUUCGAUGGAGGCGCUGGUGGGAUACUACCCCUGCGUUAUGGCCACUCUAACCCGCACCACUAAUCGUGGUGGGAGACAGUGUCAGAUGGGCAGUUUGACUGGGGCGGUCGCCUCCUAAAAGGUAACGGAGGCGCCCAAAGGUUCCCUCAGAAUGGUUGGAAAUCAUUCGAAGAGUGUAAAGGCAGAAGGGAGCUUGACUGCGAGACCAACAAGUCGAGCAGGGACGAAAGUCGGGCUUAGUGAUCCGGUGGUUCCGCAUGGAAGGGCCAUCGCUCAACGGAUAAAAGCUACCCUGGGGAUAACAGGCUUAUCUCCCCCAAGAGUCCACAUCGACGGGGAGGUUUGGCACCUCGAUGUCGGCUCGUCGCAUCCUGGGGCUGUAGUCGGUCCCAAGGGUUGGGCUGUUCGCCCAUUAAAGCGGCACGCGAGCUGGGUUCAGAACGUCGUGAGACAGUUCGGUCCCUAUCCGUCGCGGGCGUUGGAAAUUUGAGAGGAGCUGUCCUUAGUACGAGAGGACCGGGAUGGACUUACCGCUGGUGUACCAGUUGUUCUGCCAAGGGCAUUGCUGGGUAGCUAUGUAGGGAAGGGAUAAACGCUGAAAGCAUCUAAGUGUGAAGCCCACCUCAAGAUGAGAUUUCCCAUUUCUUUAAGAAAGUAAGAUCCCUGAGAGAUGAUCAGGUAGAUAGGUCAGGAGUGGAAGUACAGUGAUGUAUGGAGCGGACUGAUACUAAUCGAUCGAGGACUUAACCAA